This 1554-nucleotide ribosomal RNA is filed under the name Klebsiella pneumoniae. RNAcentral describes it as "bacterial SSU rRNA". It matches the Rfam family "Bacterial small subunit ribosomal RNA". Lineage: Bacteria; Pseudomonadati; Pseudomonadota; Gammaproteobacteria; Enterobacterales; Enterobacteriaceae. The record is from RNAcentral.
ACUUAAAUUGAAGAGUUUGAUCAUGGCUCAGAUUGAACGCUGGCGGCAGGCCUAACACAUGCAAGUCGAGCGGUAGCACAGAGAGCUUGCUCUCGGGUGACGAGCGGCGGACGGGUGAGUAAUGUCUGGGAAACUGCCUGAUGGAGGGGGAUAACUACUGGAAACGGUAGCUAAUACCGCAUAAUGUCGCAAGACCAAAGUGGGGGACCUUCGGGCCUCAUGCCAUCAGAUGUGCCCAGAUGGGAUUAGCUAGUAGGUGGGGUAACGGCUCACCUAGGCGACGAUCCCUAGCUGGUCUGAGAGGAUGACCAGCCACACUGGAACUGAGACACGGUCCAGACUCCUACGGGAGGCAGCAGUGGGGAAUAUUGCACAAUGGGCGCAAGCCUGAUGCAGCCAUGCCGCGUGUGUGAAGAAGGCCUUCGGGUUGUAAAGCACUUUCAGCGGGGAGGAAGGCGUUAAGGUUAAUAACCUUGGCGAUUGACGUUACCCGCAGAAGAAGCACCGGCUAACUCCGUGCCAGCAGCCGCGGUAAUACGGAGGGUGCAAGCGUUAAUCGGAAUUACUGGGCGUAAAGCGCACGCAGGCGGUCUGUCAAGUCGGAUGUGAAAUCCCCGGGCUCAACCUGGGAACUGCAUUCGAAACUGGCAGGCUAGAGUCUUGUAGAGGGGGGUAGAAUUCCAGGUGUAGCGGUGAAAUGCGUAGAGAUCUGGAGGAAUAACGGUGGCGAAGGCGGCCCCCUGGACAAAGACUGACGCUCAGGUGCGAAAGCGUGGGGAGCAAACAGGAUUAGAUACCCUGGUAGUCCACGCCGUAAACGAUGUCGAUUUGGAGGUUGUGCCCUUGAGGCGUGGCUUCCGGAGCUAACGCGUUAAAUCGACCGCCUGGGGAGUACGGCCGCAAGGUUAAAACUCAAAUGAAUUGACGGGGGCCCGCACAAGCGGUGGAGCAUGUGGUUUAAUUCGAUGCAACGCGAAGAACCUUACCUGGUCUUGACAUCCACAGAACUUUCCAGAGAUGGAUUGGUGCCUUCGGGAACUGUGAGACAGGUGCUGCAUGGCUGUCGUCAGCUCGUGUUGUGAAAUGUUGGGUUAAGUCCCGCAACGAGCGCAACCCUUAUCCUUUGUUGCCAGCGGUUAGGCCGGGAACUCAAAGGAGACUGCCAGUGAUAAACUGGAGGAAGGUGGGGAUGACGUCAAGUCAUCAUGGCCCUUACGACCAGGGCUACACACGUGCUACAAUGGCAUAUACAAAGAGAAGCGACCUCGCGAGAGCAAGCGGACCUCAUAAAGUAUGUCGUAGUCCGGAUUGGAGUCUGCAACUCGACUCCAUGAAGUCGGAAUCGCUAGUAAUCGUAGAUCAGAAUGCUACGGUGAAUACGUUCCCGGGCCUUGUACACACCGCCCGUCACACCAUGGGAGUGGGUUGCAAAAGAAGUAGGUAGCUUAACCUUCGGGAGGGCGCUUACCACUUUGUGAUUCAUGACUGGGGUGAAGUCGUAACAAGGUAACCGUAGGGGAACCUGCGGUUGGAUCACCUCCUUACCUUAAAGAA